This 253-nucleotide ribosomal RNA is filed under the name uncultured bacterium. RNAcentral's name for it is "partial 16S ribosomal RNA". It matches the Rfam family "Bacterial small subunit ribosomal RNA", at positions 524 to 776 of the family's 1533-position model. The record is from RNAcentral.
GACAGAGGCCACGAACGUUGUUCGGAAUCACUGGGCAUAAAGCGCACGUAGGCGGCUAGGUCCGUCCAAUGUGAAAGCCCCCGGCUCAACCGGGGAAUUGCAUCGGAUACAGCCUAGCUUGAGGACGGUUGGGGUGAGUGGAACUCCUGGUGGAGCGGUGAAAUGCGUAGAUAUCAGGAGGAACACCGGUGGCGAAAGCGGCUCACUGGACCGUAACUGACGCUGAGGUGCGAAAGCUAGGGGAGCAAACGGG